CGCCCGGACCGCGGGGGGAGCAGGGGCGCGGGGGACCUGCCGCCGCUGCCGGCUCUUUGUCUGCUCGGGCAACUUGAACAAAAGGAGAAACUCGGAUGAACUCUCCAUCUCUCCGUCGCCUCUCCCGGGUUAACUCAUCUUCGGCAACUUUAUCCGAAGAGAUUUACUCAACUUUCUUCGAGCUCUCCCGCAGCUUAAAAGCAAAGAGCCUCGCCGUAGGUUUCUAAGGAAAUCUGGUUUCACAGUUUAGAGAAAAGGAGAAGGUCACAACAUGAUAGUUGGGAAAAUGGAAUGGUUGCCAGAACAUCAGUCUGUGAUGGAUGCCAUAUUGCAUUACCCUUCAAAUGGUGGAAUACAGUUUGGGAUUCCUCAGACCUGCUUAACGUGGUUCAAGAUGGAACUUACAGCUGCUUAACGUUUUAGCUGUUUGGAUCCAUGGUUAUGGUUAAUGGUUUCCUGGGUGAAGAGUCCCAUGCUGAAACUUGUGGAUAUUGUAGAACAUGCUGCUGAGACCCAUUUGGAUUAUACUGCCAUCUGACAUCAAGGUUUUGCAGCUGAUGAAAGGAGUUUACCAGAUCUUUUUUAUGUGGUUGCUGAAGCAUUGCCCUGGGACAGCAGUAAUGAUGGAUGGAGGAACAGAACACACUUCAGGAUUGAGUCACAGAGAAAUGUGAGGAUUUACACUUCUGAAGUAGGUGUGAAUGGGACUGAAGGAAUUACGUGGAGGAUUCUGAACUCCCCUUCUUCCUGCUCCGGGAAAGACUGAUGUCAUUUCCAGGACACUGGAGAUGGUGGAAGAACCAGAAAGCUACGCUGCUCUUCCACGGUGUGAACUACUGCUGAAAAUGAUAAAGAAGAAAAGGAAACCUGAUUUGUAGUUCUGAAUAAAGUGACAUUAAGAGAACACAUGCUUCCUUGUCACAUUACUUAAGAGAUUCUGACAAUGUAUCCAAAGGAACUCCAUCUUCAAGAAGGGAAAAAAAGAAAAUCAUGUCAAAUCUGAUAGUCUUCUGAAGUGUUCCAUUAAUUGUGGAUUUUUAUAAGAAUUCUUCAAACACAGAAAUAAUUAUUGUAACCAGCAAUGGCAGUAUUCAAGAUGCCAUAAAGAAGGAGAUUCAGAUGGAUCAUGCUUUAUCAGAUGUCCAAGCCAAUACUGCUGUCCAGUCCUUGUUCUCAACAACAUCCUCCUGUCCUUGUGAUGGGGGUUCUUGGGAGGACUGUGCAGAUCAAGCUUCACACUGCCUCUGCACUUCAGGCUCUCUGUGCUGAGGCAAUGAACACAGACCUAUACUUCACACUGGUUUAUCACAGGAAUUUUUCCAGUCCUUGCUAAACAGCUUCUGCCUGAGCAUCUCUGAGCUGCCAACUGGAGCAACUGGAAACCGAGGCAGACACAGCACAGAAGCAAAGCUGGCAGUAAGAUUAUUCUUCAUGCUAAAAUAAUACUCUGAAGUUUGUAUUUUGUCAGCUGAGAUUAUAGUUCAAUUUCUUGGAAGAAGUGAGAUGCUAUUUUGCUGAAGAUAUAUGGCCCUCCGUCCCCUGUUGUUAUAUAGGCAAAUUGUUGGUACUUAUCAUCCUCUUUCUGGCUGCUUCAUCUCCGCAGGUAAUUGUGCCUCUGAUAUUGCCUAGAUGUCUCAGCCUUGUUUGCGACCUGAGAGUGGAUUUUAGCUCUUCAGGCAAUUGACUUGUCCUGAAGAUGGCAGAUUUAUAGGAAUAUUGCAUACUGCCAAUAAAAAUAAACAAUUGACUGAUCAGUGGGGUUUUUACUCCCCCUCCCCCUUUCCUCUGAGAGAACCAAGAGCCAACCAUUUCUGGACAGCUUCCCCUCCCCUUGUGAAGCUCAGGGAAUUCAAGCAGCUCAUCUAAUCCCGUGGUGCAGAGGCUGUGUUGCAGCAGGCAGGAAGGUACGAAAGGCAACAUAUCCUCAACAGAAGAGUUUUGCUGGGAGGAGGACCUAGGACUACCCAAGGACCAACUCAGAAUCACUGAAUUAUGGGUCACUGGAGUAGUGGGCUGCCUUGUCUUCCCUGGACAAUGGAUGUAUUUUUUCCUACACCUUGGCUGACGUGCAGUAACUAACAUGAGGCAUAAAGCUGCACCAUUUGGAAGAAACAAGACUGUCUUUCCUCACAGCUACGAUGCUACACCGCUUUCGACAGAGCCUGCUUUUCCCUCCAUCUACCUGGGCGGCUGCUGCUCUUUCUGCUGCUGCUGGGGCUGCUGCAGUCUUGCUGCCUGCGCUUCGCCCUGGCUUGGCUGACUCGAAACUCUCUCGUCUGCACAUUGCUAAGGAAGAAGAGCGAUGGAGCCGCGUAUUUUUUUUUUUAUUGGUUCUGGAAGCCAAGGGUUGCAAUAUGUGAUGAUUUUGGAGUUUUCUGUGGCGGGGGGGAGGGAGGAGAAAGGAAGGGUGUUAAUCUAGGAUAGGGUGGGUGAAAGCUUAAAGAAAUAUUAUGUAAAGCAAUCCCGUGCUCGACAAGGGCAUCAGCAACAAGAAUCCAGCCUCUGCUGCUCCAGAGGAUUAACAUGAGGAAGUCACAGUGCUGCAGUCGGGUUUCACCUCAGUGUUGUGCUGGAGAUGGAUAAAUAAGGUAUCGGUUGCAUCUGCCUGUUAAGGCAAAGCCAAGGGAGAAGGAGAGAGCGAGCGAAUGCAAAUGCAAAGGAAGAAGAAAUGCUACGUGCCGUUUGUCUGAUUCUGUGGAUUCUCGCUGCAGAGAGGAUGGCUUGAUUAACAAAGCAGUGUGUGGACGGAUGGACUGUAAAUUGUAGCUUGAGCACUCCUGGUGCUGUCAGGGAGUGAACUGAUGAGUUUGGUGGCUGCAGGAAUAUCCCCAGGGAAAGCAGCAGCCUCGCACUCUGUGUGUGUAUCUGUGUAUGUACGUGCUUUUCUGUGUGUGUGAACAUGUAUAGAAAUGAAAGAAAGACAUUUCUGACCAAUUUACAGAGGACGUUUGUCAGUUUGCUGGGUCAGACUUGAUUGCAGCUUGUAUUUUCAGCUCUAGCUCUACACCCAUUUCCUGACUGAGGUGGCACUUUGUGAAAACAGAUGGUAGGCAGUAUUGUUUUAAAAAAUGUGAAAGCAGAUCCUUUCUGCUUAACACCUUGAAGCACUGAGUCUUCUGCACUGUGCUGAGAGAAACCGUGGGGUUUCGUUUUUCUCCAUCUUAAAAUCCCUAUAAACACAGCUGUAUUCAGUAUGGUGAAAAAUUCUACACUGUAAAUAGAAAUGUGAUCAAUCUAAUCAAAAUAAAUGUAUCCCAGAUGACUUCUAGACCAGCUGGCUACCACAGUCAUCAGAUGACUAAAUCCUCAACUGAGCAUUUGUAUUCAGUGUUAUACUUGCAUCUUUUUAUUUUUCCUUUUUUUUUUUCUUAGAUUUUCAAAAACAGCCUCGAAUUGAAAAGGAUUCUUCAUAUACUGAGAAAAGGCAAUGCUUGCAUUUAGCAAUUGAUUUCUGUGAAAUGUAGCUGGGUGUAUCUUUUAUUGUGGAAUCUGCUUGGGGUGGUUUUAGAGCAGGUAUCUCUGUGAUACUGGUCACAGUACAGACAUAUUUCAUUUGGCAGGUAGCUCAACUUGGCCAUAUCUGAACAAUGCAGAAGACAAGGGAAAACAAGCACUGCACUCAGCUAGCAGGGCUUGGCGUGGAUUUUAGCAGCUGCCUAAUGAGAAGGACAGGGUAUUUUCCUUUCCUUUUUUUUUCCCUUUUAUACAAAGCCAUAGACUGUAAUGUCAUACUAAAAUGUGUAUGAGGGGAUUUCCCAACAGUCAUGGUGAGCUACCCUGCAAGACACCCGUCUGGUCCUUCCACUGUUUGUUCCCCAGCCUACAAAGGCAGCCCUGUGUUGAAUCGUAUUUAGCCAGCUGUUGGAUAGCAUUCUUGUGCUGGGGGCUAAGGAGUCUCAUCACUCCCAAACUGUAGUUUUCUGUUUGCUUAAAGAAAAAUAACUUUGGCAAUACAGCAGGCUCUGCGAAGGAGUUUAUGCCACUCCUAUACCUUUCUGAAUCUGUUGUGUGCUUCUAACUCAGGCAGUUUAAAGCAAGCAAGGAGGGAGGAGGAGAGGCUCUGAACUCACAGCUUCAAAGCUGCAGAGACGAGCAAAAUGUCAGCAGCUUGUAAUUAGGAGCCCACGGUUACGUCAGUGACUGUAUCUCUCCAAGAAUUGCUAUGUGAUGUGUGCCACAAAGCAAAGGAAGACUCUCAUAACCUGGUUAACAAGCCUGGCUCAAACAAGAAAGAGCAAAAUGGAUUAAUGAAUCUGCUGUGUUCCUAAGUCAGAUGUGGAUGGAUUACAUGCACAAGGUUUGCUGAAUUCUGCAGCAGUGAAGACUGAAUUAUGGCAUGCAUUUGCCAAAAGCGCAAAUCCUUCAGGAAAAAAUGCAGAUGAGCAGUCUUUCCUUGAAAAUGUCUUUUCUAGCUCUCUCCUGUGCAGGCAGCUGCAUGAUAUUGAGGCAAGCUCUGAAGGAAGAGAUCGGCGAGCUGCACAAAGGUGUUUAAAAGGAAGGUUGCCAUUAAACACAAAGCAAGCCUGCUGAAAUUCUGUUCUGGCUGAAGCAUUACAGAUUGGAUACUGAAAUACCACCCCAGAGGAGAACGGCUGGGCUCUGGUGUGGUUUAUAUUAAGGCUUCUCUGGUUAAGAGCGAGGGGGGAGGGACAGGGCUUCCUGCAGCAUCUUGCAGCCAUGCAGAAGUCCCCAGGGCUGUGGGAAGCAGGAGGGAUGGAUGUGCUCUUAAAGACACAUGCCCAGAUCCUGCCAAGGGGCUUCCUGACCUCUGCAAUUAUUUUUAGGUCUGUGAAGGCAACUCGGCGGUGCUUAAGCAGUGAGAUUGCAGGGGGUGUUUAAUCUGCUGCGGCUGGCCCUUCUCCUUGUCAUGGCUGGGAGAGGUUCAUGGGGCUUUUAUCAAUACCCCUCCACCACAUCCAGCAUGCAUGUCUGUCACUGCUCCCAAAGACCAGUUACAGGAGGUCUGGUGUGUGUCUCUGCUCCCAGCAGAAGUCACUUGCAGUUCAGCUCUGUUGUAGUUGCUCUUUAAUUUACCAGGAUAGGUAGAUUGUAUUAUACAAACAGUGGGGGUGGGUGGUUUUUGGUUUGGUUUUGGUUUGGAUUAUUUUUUUUUUUGACUGUGAGCACAAAUUUGUAGGAGGAGGUGACUCCGUAUAUUAAACCAAUAGCUCUUUGAAUUGUGUGUAGUAUAAUUUAAAUAUACUUACUUUAAUUAAUAGAAGGUUACAAAAGCUGGCAUUGUCUGGGGCUGUUUAAUUUACAUCUUAGGUUUAGUCAAUGAGCAUAACCUGCCUGAUUAGAAUAGUGUAUUCUGCACAGCCAACAGGGUGGAAGGCAUUAUUUUGUUUGUGUUAGUUCAAACAGCUGGUCAUUAAUGCAGGCCCCAUCUCCAGAGUGAAGUGCUAGUGGACAUGAAUGGCUGCCUGAUUAAUGCUGCCCCUCGACGGGUCCUUCAUCCAGCAGCGAUGCUCGCAGCAGAAUAAUGCAGCGGGAUUUGAUUGCGCUCUAACAGGGUAGUAUGUCAUUGUGUCACCAAGCGAUCGAGGUUAUUAUGGGGUAGGGCAGACAGACGGGACAGUGGGGUUACUAGACCGUGGCAUUUUUAGAAAUGCAGGGCUGACCUACUUAGAGUUAUUCUUGCUGGCUGGCAGCUGCCUGGUGCGGGGCUCCCCCGGAUAGGCUGCGGCUGUUGCUAGGGGGAAUUAGCAUGAAUUUUUCCACAUACAGACUCAGUGAUUGAAUGAUAAAAGCUGACUGGAAUUAAAGAGAUUCGGUUCAGUAUUAUGCAGAUUUAUCUCCCUCAUUUUUUUUUUUUCUCUCUGUCAAAUGCAUAAAAAGGAGCAGAAUACAGUUUGUUUCCAUUUAUUUUUGACCUUUUUUAUUUUUUUCCAGGGGAGGGCAGAAGUGUUGCGAAUUUUUGGUCAUAAUUUAAUAUUUAGGCUGUUGAAAUGAUAUGAUAGUGAGCAUGCAUCUUUAAUGUAUGGAAGAUUAAAAUUCUGCCUCUCUGGAAGGGAAUGAAAUGAAUAUAUUUUGUGUUCUGGUCAGGCUGCCACCUCUUUUGAUUUGAAACCAUGUCAGAUUCUUUCAUCUGGAAAGGGGAAACAUAUACCAGGUUUUAUUGCAUAACAUUACUCUUAGCUAUUUUUAGCUAUCUGUACUUCAAAAAAAUUAGUCCUGUUUAUACUAGUGGAUGAAAUUAAUCCCCAGGCUAUGCCUUAUGUAUGUGGAGACAGAUGCCCAGGGUAGCUGCAGUGCUGUGUGUCAUGUUCAUCUGAAAAGGUGUUUACAUAGCUCAGGCUUAUCAGCAGUGCAUACCUAGCAGAGUGCUGAUGCUUGACAUGUAAUCACAUCAAUUAGAGAACUCCUCUGGAUUUCAGAGUAUUUUUCAGGCCCUGGUUUGAAGCUGGAUUCUCUAGAUGGUCUUUUAUUUAUCUACAUCUGCCUAAAACAGUGUUAUCUUUUCAGAGAACUCUGUGCUCCCUUAGGAAGCAAAUAAAAACAAUACUCAGUGAAGAAUCCUUUGAUGUAAUCAUGAAUAUUUCCUUUGUUAUUAUCACUAAUUAUAGAAGAUCUUUGUU
Molecule: long non-coding RNA, 6578 nt
Organism: Parus major (Great Tit)
Lineage: Eukaryota; Metazoa; Chordata; Aves; Passeriformes; Paridae
Exons: 9
Source: RefSeq, a predicted model, not a curated record